Long non-coding RNA from Manis pentadactyla (Chinese pangolin), 1598 nucleotides. RefSeq lists it as uncharacterized. The record is from RefSeq and is a predicted model, not a curated record. The transcript is spliced from 2 exons. Lineage: Eukaryota; Metazoa; Chordata; Mammalia; Pholidota; Manidae.
CUCCUCCUCCUCCUGCCCUGCGCUCGCGCGGCCGUCUCGCUCCUGGCCGCACGCCGGGCUCCGGCCGCGAACCAGCCUUGGACUCGCUCCCCUCGCUCCAUUUGAGUAGAUGGACCCCCGACCCCCAAAGUCCCUGGGCGGCGCAGACACCCCCGCUCCCCGAAGCCGUCUCCGCCUCUGCUAGGCUGCCGGGGACGCGCGGCGUCGGGCCUGGGGCGCAGGGUCGGGACUGCGUGCGGUGUGUGUGUUGGUGGGGGUGCUUAGAGGUGAACUGGCUGAGAGGGGAAGCAAGCGAAUGCGGGGCUGCCAGCUGAGGUCCCGCUGAAGUUGUCACUGGGGGUAACCGGGAGUCUACCUCCCCUGCCUGGUGCAGACCCUCGCCCGGCCCGCUGCUACCCGGCUUUUCGGCGAGAAUCCAAGAAAAGAGAAGCUGGAGCGGCGCGCGAGGAAACAAGGAGCCUUUCACCACGGCUCCCGCAAACGCCCGACAGAGAGAGAUGCACAUAGUCCCCGGGAGCCGGGAGCUGCUGUUUGAUACUCUGCGGUUCUUUGAGACUGAGUCGGGAGACCAGGUGCCCGGUCGAGGCCCGGAACGGUCACCGGGUUCCCCUAGACUCGCAGACCUCCCUCUACCCGCGGCGGCAGCGUUCACUGAAUGGAGGCGCCAGGGGGAAAGCCCAGACGAGGAGAGAGGUCCUCUACCCCUUCCCUGACAUCACAUAGGUACAGUGUCUAAGCCCAGCACUGUGCGCCCAGCAGCCUUAUUCCGAUGACCCUCAGUCCCUUGCACAUUCUGGCUAGUAGCCCUGGAGAGGAAAGCGCCCGCACAGGUCCUUUUCUCUCACACUCGGUUUUGUGGUCAGAAGGACUCUCCUAGGGCCUUCUCAACACCACCCUGGGCAGCGGACUGGGGGUCGACCCCCUGCUGGAUUCCAGGACCUUUGCUUUAUCCUCAACCUCCUCGAGUUCAAGACCGGCUCUCUCCUGUGCAGACCCGACCAACAGCGCCUUAUUUGGGCAUGCAACCCCACACCGUCAAUUAGAUCAAAACGCUCACACAGAGCUCCUUCCCCCCCCCACCCCCGUAAAGUAGGUCAUUCUCUUUAUUUCCCGCUUGUAUUAUUUUUGUCUAAUUCUCCUCCUGAAAAAUAAUCAGCUGCAAGGCGCUUUGAGCGUCCUGAGAGAAGCUUAGAUAUUCUUCCUUCGCUCCUGACUUGGAGGGCUUUUCAGGAAGGAGGAGGACGUAUUUGGCACAUUAUGAUUUUGAAGUCCCUCCCUUUCCAAAAGGAGAAAAAAAGGUUUGAUUUAUUUUAUUUUGCUUUGUUUUCCUACCCCCUUCUUUUCCUUCAAGCAAGUAGGUUUCACCGUGCCCUUAAAGCAUGGCCAUGACAAGUAUCUACUAAAGAAUAAAGCUGUGUGCUUUUAACCGGAUUUAAUGCAGAAUUUAAAGCCACCUCCCUUCCUAUCUUGCUUUGAAAGAGAUUCCAACUUCCUCCUCCUCCUUCCUUUUGGGAACUAGUUGAACAAUUAUUAAAUGACCUUUUAGGAAAGAAAUGGCCUACCAUAGUAAAACAUCAAAUAAUUCUGCAACGCAACAA